RNAcentral lists this ribosomal RNA (253 nucleotides) under uncultured bacterium. RNAcentral's name for it is "partial 16S ribosomal RNA". It matches the Rfam family "Bacterial small subunit ribosomal RNA", at positions 524 to 776 of the family's 1533-position model. The record is from RNAcentral.
UAUGGAGGAGGCAAGCGUUACCCGGCAUUAUUGGGCGUAAAGCGUCCGUAGGUGGUGAUUCAAGUCAGCGGUUAAAGCGUGGGGCUUAACCUCAUACAGGCCGUUGAAACUGGAUUGCUAGAGUGCGGUAGGGGUCGAGGGAAUUCCCAGUGUAGCGGUGAAAUGCGUAGAUAUUGGGAAGAACACCGGUGGCGAAAGCGCUCGGCUGGGCCUGCACUGACACUGAGGGACGAAAGCUAGGGGAGCGAAAGGG